GUAAUUUCAAUUUAUUUACAAUAUUUUUCUCUAAGUUAACAUGAGUUCUAUGGUGAUUAUAAUGUACGGAUAGGAAAUUCAUGUGCUGGAGUAAAAAAAAAAAAUCAAACUCUGGAACAACCGAACAAGCCUUGCCCAAGGCUUGUGUCAGGCACAUAAGACAAGACCGUGUGCUCGGGAGGCAUGGCCAUGUGGCAUGCCUCCUCCAUAUGACACAACCAUGUGUUACCACCAAAGCAUUUCUGUGAGGGAAACACGACCAUGUGUUUGCCCAACACAGUCGUGUGUCAAUCUAUACAUAAGCGUCACCUAAGGUUUAUGUCAGACUCUUAAGAAACGACCGUGUGUUACCACAAAAGCAUUUUUGUAAGGGACACACGGCUGUGUGCUUGCCAAACACGGUCGUGUCAUGUCUAUAACAAGGAAAUUAACGGAAUCCCAAGAAAAAUACAGUUGUAUAGAUGCCCAACAUGAUCAUAUGUCAUUCCCCAUAUAAGCCUUGGCCCAAGACUUAUAUCAUCUGGCAACACAUUUGUUGGUUCUUAAAAAGUGAUGUUUCCCAAUGUAUCCCACCUCUAAG
Molecule: long non-coding RNA, 580 nt
Filed under: Carica papaya (papaya)
Lineage: Eukaryota; Viridiplantae; Streptophyta; Magnoliopsida; Brassicales; Caricaceae
Description: long non-coding RNA (CPAP_LNC002036)
Source: RNAcentral